This 1185-nucleotide long non-coding RNA is filed under the name Canis lupus familiaris (dog). RNAcentral's name for it is "lncRNA (ENSCAFG00030021317.1)". The record is from RNAcentral. Lineage: Eukaryota; Metazoa; Chordata; Mammalia; Carnivora; Canidae.
AUGAGCGAAGAGUUGGCGCGCAGAGCUGUAGAGGGGUUUUCCUUCAGGUCACGCAGUAGCCUGCGCAGGGAUGCUUCCUGGACCGAUGAUGGAACAGCUUGCAAACAGAUGAUGCGCACACGAACCAAGCCUGUCUUUAAAGAUCCCAGGGCCGCGAAGCUUUGGGCGAUGACGUCACAGAACCCCGAGCUCCCCCGCCCCCGCUCCACGUCCACCCCGCCCACUCCGAGCCAAGCCCCUUGGUGCUCCAAGACUACCAAUCCCAGGAGGCACCGCAGCGCAGGGGCCCAGAGCUCCCCGCGCAGUCCGCCCCGACGCGCCGAGGCAGCCUCCUCUGGAACUAGGAAGACGCCCCAGGCCCGGCCCGCCACGCCGCCGGGACCGCGCGCGGGGCCUGCCGGGACUUGUAGUCUCCGCGGGCUGGGCGUGCGGGCUCCGGAAUCUCGGCCGCCGUCUGGGGGCCGCGGCGGCGCGGGCGCGCGUGCGCAGUGCGCGGACGGGCCGUCGCGGGCGCCGCUCCGGCAGCUCGGGGCCGGUGGGAGCCGGGGCCGCGGCUGCGCGGUGCGGAGGGCCGAGGGCCGACGUGAAGUUGGGCGUGAGAAGCGCGGCCGCUCCGGGGCGGGGUGGGCGGGGCCGGGCUCCGGGAGCGCCGCGCCGGCUGGGGGAGAGCAGGGAGGCGUCCGCGCGUCCGCCGAGGGGCCGGCGGGCGCUGGUGAGUGCGGGGCGGCGGGCGGCGGGCGGCGCGGCGGCCCGGGCUGUCCCGCACCUGGGCGAGGCCGCGGCGCCCGCUCACCUGCGCGCGCGGGCUGCGGGGCUGCGGGGCUGCGGGGCUGCGGGGCUGCGGGAGGGGGCGGCGUCCUCUUCCCGCGACUCGUUUAUUGUUUCUCCGACUCGGCCCCCGGCGGCGUCCGGCGCGGGAGGGCGGGGGCCCGGCCGGGGCGGGCGGCGGCGCGCGGCUCCCGGGGGCGCCGUGCGGGGAUCCCCGGCGGCCGACGCCUGUCGGGGCCGCUCCGCCUCCGGGGGCUCGGCCGCCGCGGGCAGCGUUUCCUAGCGUCUUCCUGCGCUUUCGCUUUAGGACUCGGCGAGGCGGCAGGCGGCCCCGCCCCGGGCGGCGGAGUCCGGCUUCACCUCCGCGGGUUCGCGGCGCGGGGGCCGCAGGUGCCUCGCCCAAGGUCACGCAGGUAG